GGCACCUGUGGUUGAGUUUUAUGCCAGAGUGUUGAUAAUGAGACCUCCUGUUCUGAUCUCAAUAAAUAAACCAAAGGCUAAAGAGUGAAGAUCGAGUCAGGUUAAAGAGUCAUGACCGGAAUAAGUGUUUACAUGGACAUGUUUGAAAAUAACGAUCGGCAUAAACCACCUCUCUUGAUCGGAGUACAAUUUCUUUCCAAUUAAUCCAAACUGGUUCAGGAUCCUCCGAUAUGCAUGUUUACAUGACGCUAUUUUAUUCAGAUCAGGCUUUUAUUCCGCAAGAGAUGGGUCCAACAUUUAGGUCCAGUGCAACUCGUCAGAUUUCAAUUUUUUAAGUUCAACUUGGCUCAGCCAAACUUUGUUAAACCAUUGGAUCAUCUUGUCUACUGCAGAGCUGAGGUAUUUAUUUCCUGGUGCACCUUUCCCCUCCCGUCAUCCCCUGAGCAUUUUCACUCAUCUGAAGAUGGUGAUCAGCCGUCACAGCUGCCAUCACUCCACUCCUUCAUCCGCUCGCCAGCAUCAAUCUGUCACUCUGCUCCCAGACUCACUGCCAGCUCAAGUGUUCGUAUUGAUCGUCUCAUUGACGAGGUGUCUCAUUCAGGUCUGUGUUAUGGUGAUAAAACUGCUGUUUGGACAUUGAUGUGGUCCUCUGAUGUUUCUUUAUUUACACUGACGAUGAACGCCGACAGAUGAUAAAUUAUCUCUCAGCAGGACAACUAAACAUUUCAGCGCUCCCUCAGGUCAGGAGAUUUACACCUAGAACCUGAGUCAGAGUUGACAUAUAGGAUAAUAAACUGAUUAUAUUUAAAAAUCUGUUAUACAGGAUAUGAUUGUUGUCCACAAACAGCAGAGUCUACAUCGUCUUUUUUUGCUGAACCAACAGGAUAAAUUGAACCUCCUGAACCGCCCACCUUUUACUUCACAUUCCCUCCAUCAUCUGCAGCCCCGCUCUCUCUCCCCUCCCCCAUCUGUCACUUUGCCUCCCUCACUCCUUGCUGGCUCUCCCAUGACGUGACUCUAAUAAUAGCUCCCUGAAGUCGGGGCCCGGCAGUACCCAAGGGCCAUGUGUUGGUCUUGAAGGGCACGGCAUGAAUUGGCCACGCUCUUUCCCCUGCAUGCUACUGGGCUUAUAAAUAGCUGUGGAGAAAGAGGGGGAUCUGCACAGGCAUUAUAUAAGCAUCUCGUGUGUUUAUGAAUGGCAGUGGGGGUGGGGGGGAUGGGGUGGUACAUUCAUAAGUCUUUGCUGCUGCAGCUGCCGCUGUAAACACCCUCCUACCACUGCUAAGUCAGCCAUGUGUGAACAAACUGAAAAUUUAAGAACCAAGAGAUUUGCAAACAUCCCCCUAAUUUGAUCAUUUCUGCCCUACGUCUCAAGAAAUCCUCAUAAAUGUGAAGGAUUGUUCAGUAUCUGACACCCUGAGUCGUAGACAGGCAAAUAAAACCAUUUUUAAACACAGUAAAGGUCAGAGUGGAUCUGUCUGAAACAAGCUGUUGGUAUUUGAAUGAGUGAACAUGUUGGUCAUGGACAGAAGGUUCAAUCAGAGACAAUUUAAAGUGAGCAGGCUGUUUUGCCAAAUGGAUCGCAGACCAAAGUCAGAUAAAACCAACCCCUUUCUGUGCAUUGAUUGGUGCUACAUCCCUAUUAACAGCCAUCUCCAUAGCAACAGUCUGCUAUCAAGAAAUAACAGACUGCCGCUAUUAAAUGUUGCAACACAAUGACCGAUCAGAAUUAAGUCGUGAACACAGCUGUUUAAUGAACACUGAUAAAAAUGCCAGAUGUCGCUCUUGAGCUUUCUAAAGUGACCUAAUCAUGCUAAUCCGCUAACAUAACGUGGAGGUUAGCCUGAUGCUAUCUGUCUUCAUGUUGUCACACAAACAUUUAAAACCAUAAAAAGCUGCAGCUUAACACAUUUAGGCUUUAAUGCCAUUUAAUACGAUGCAUGAAUCUGAUGUUGACCACAAUGAUGUGCUAAUGCAACUAAACAGUUCAUUCACAUCCUACUGGAAGGCUAGCUAAUAAGUUUGUAUGUUAACUUGUCAUGUCUUGAACUUCUUUUAAGGGUCUGGGUGUCAUUGAGGUGUACAUCACGGAGGUAUCCAUGGAGAUUUGAAGAUUUAUGAUCAUUUCUUUAUCAUUUACUUGAAGUCAUAAUCACCAUAUUAAUCAUUUUGCACUGCAGACGCUGUAGUUCUUCUGCCUUAGCGUCUCGGUCUGAUUGCAUUUCCAUGAGAAAAUGGUCAUAAAUGUUCUUCCUUGAGCUGCGUCACCCCGCUGCAGUCAAUGGACUCGCCCGGAGGUCUCCGUACAAACAAGUGGCUGCUGGAGGAGAGUGGGUAAGUUGUGUUUAGUCUUUUUCCUAAAAAAAUUAGUCAAAAUUAAAAAGAUGUUUGAUGGCUAGUACUAUGGCUAGGACUCUAUAUGUCCUGUUGAUGAAGUUAGGUGCUGUUCUGAGCAUUAUUUGUGGUUAUAGAGUGGUGUUUAGGUUGAGGUUUGUUUAUGGCUCCUCAGACCGCUGUGUAUUGCUAUCGUGUGGUCAUUACUAAAGUUGGUAGAGAAGCAAGCAGUUGGCAACAUUCAUCUCUCAUAUAAAAUUCAAAAGAAGUGUACAAUGGUAUUGUUUCAGAGUUUCCACCACCUUCACCUUCUUUGAGGUUUUUUUUUUAUGCUAAGGGAGCAGGGAGUAAUGAAAUGAGCAGGGAGGUACGGUGAGUACUAUGAGAUGAUGCCAGUGUAGAAAGUAGAGGAGGGGGGGAGGAGGGAGUGAUGAAGAGCCCCGUGGAAAAGAAGAGCAAGGCUUAAUGAGUGUGUUGCCCCUGAUUCGGGCACAAGCACGAGGCAGGAGAUGACAGGACUGUGUGUUGCCAUGGGGGAUGCAGCGUUGGCCUGCAUGAAGCAGAGGCAUCCCUCCUCCUCCUCCUCCUCCUUACUCUCUUCCUCCUCUUCCUCCCCUCUGAUGCUCAUGGCAUAAAGAACAGAGUACAGAGCAGAGCCACGUACACCCAGCACUGCAGCAGAGCUUUGGCCGUAAGAGCUUCACAGAUCUGAACAUUGGUGCCCAUAGCAAACACAAAACAAAAAAAGGUCCCGACUUCUGUAAAAACUCUGAUCAGUGUAAUCUUGCAAGAAAAUUACUUGGAAAAGUUUGUAAAUUAAAAAAAAAAGUAUUUUUCUUUUACGUGGUCGCAGUAUUCAGUCUGACAGAGAUGGAUGAUUUAAAUGACCAGCUGAUGGCCCAGCUGAUUUCCUCCUAUCUCCUAUUGGUCCUUUGCCUUUAGAGCGCCCUUUUUAAAAGUGCCCUAACCCAGCCUCUUCCUCUGCUUCGACAGCCGACCAGCAACCCACCUCCACCCCAGCUCCACUACCCUUGAAGCGCUCUGGUCAUCACUGCUCUACGCCGCGUUGUUUCUGCCUUCUUGAUACCUUGUGAAGGUGCUCUUCCUGGCUUUUCACGCAUGCUUGCGUGGAGAAUCAGGGGCACCAAACAGAACCUUUAGUGCGCUCCCUGCUAUUGCCUUUUCAUGAUGGCUCGUGGAGGGCAGGAAGGGCUUCUUCCUGCCUCUGGCUUCCACACAAGUGCGUGGAAGGGCAGGGACCCAGAACAGAACUAUACUGCCAAAUUUAACUUUGCACUAUAAAGCUGAAUUUUGGCAAAGUGAUCCUGUCUAAACUUAUAUCUAUGAAGUCUAUUAGAAAGAGACAAUGCAAAGAGUACAUCUUGAAAAAUGUGGGAGUGUCUUAUUUUCAGGGUUUAAUACUUGACCCUCUUAAAUUGAUGCUGCCAACUUAGAGACCGACUUAAAAAUCCACUCGCUUCGUGAGACCGGCAGCUCUGAGUAUUUCUGCAACAUCCAGGGACUUUUCUAUCCCACAGAGAAGACCAGUGUAUUUUCAGAGACUGUUACGAUCUAAUCCCUUGAAAAUGAAGGUAAUCUGUGAAAAAUUAUGUGUUAAUUUUCAUGAUAUCUCUGUUGUCAGGUAGUUAUUCUCAAUGAAGGAUUUUGUUGUUGAUGCAGCUCCAUAGAGAAACAAUGUUAAGGUCUUUUCUUGAGAAUUAGUCUUGAAAAAGAGAGGUGGUCUUAUAAUCAGGGUGGUCAUAUAUGGUACUGUAAUGAUCGGAGCUUUUAUUGUGUGGUUAUUGAAGCCGGAAACAAAGCUAAACCCUCCUGUGUGGGUGAAACGGCUGUUUGUCGUGGCUGAAGGUCAAAGUCAAGGCUAAGCUAAUUCCCAAACACGACUUCAGACUGCAGAGGGAUUAAUGCAGCUGGACGACACAUGCUCACACUCCCUGUGACGAAAACCUGACAAAGACAGGAAGGAGAAGGACUGAAAAAGGCUGAACACACGUUCACACGCAGAUGCUCAUCUGAUGACUUCAUGCUUUUGGCGUUCUGUGAAACGCAGCGCCGUGUUUUAUCUCCUGUUAGAUGAUACUUGCAGGCACAAAGGGGAGGCUGCUGCGUCUAUAACUGGUCCCGUGUUGGAUUACAGCUGCUUCACCGGUGCUGAAACUGAAGAUGGAAGACAGAACAGCGCCUAAAAUCCCUUCUCAAAGCAAGUGGAAAGUUUAAUGUGCACUUGAACUCUUCCCCCUCUCCUCCAUCUGCUGCUCAGCCAAUCAGCAGCUGACGUUGGCAGUCGCUAAGCCCCUGUAGGCCCUGGUUUCCUCGACUGGGAGGCAGUGAUUGGUACGGAUUAGUUUCUUAAUUCACACUCCUAACACCAGAGUAUUAUUUUGAAGAGCAACCUUGUUAUGAAGCCACUGACAGAGCAGUAACCUCAGGACUGUUGCUUCCUCUGAGGGCUGAUUAUUCUGUGUUUAUAAGGAUGCUUAUUAAAGGCGGGGGAGGCAGGAUCUGAGGAAGUGCCAGUUUUUAGGAGAAAUCUUGAAUGUAAACUCUACCCCUCUCAACCAGUUUUCCCCUCAGCUCCUCCUCUCCCCUCCUGCUCUGCUCCAGCAAGCCCCGCCCACAAACAGACGCUCCUGCUCGCUCGUAUCGUUCCAAUUAAAUUCAGAUAUAAUGCAGAUAAAUACUUCAGAUAAUUACAAAUGGAGCCCAGUCAAGGUGAAAGUAAAAAGCAUUGGUGAGACUGUAGAUUCCAGCAAACACAAUGUUUGCAGGACUUCUACAACAAGGAUAAAGUGACAUAGUCCAGGACCCGAGGUCAACAGUUUAGCGGCGCUACAGCAGGUCCUGUUUGACAAGAAACACUUCUGUUACACUUAGCUUACUUUGUUAAAGUGGUUUACCUGUCCAGCAGAAAGGUUACGCGGUCCGUAAGAUCCCGAAGUGUCCCCCAUUGUUUAUGCUGAUGUUGACCCGUUUUUUUUAGCUCUUGUCUGGUCUACCUCCAUUUCAGCGCCCGUUGUUUUGCAAGAGUCUCCGGUAUUUACUUUGUUUUCUUGCUUGUGUUGGCAGUCAUGGCUAAAGGAGGAUUCCGACAAUUUUCCGUACUUUCUAGUUGGUUUCUACCAUCCAAUAUUGUAGCACGCUAACAUUGGGCUCAUGUACGUUAUUGGAGGAUGUGAAGCAUGCCUCACAACACUAGGGAGCAGUGCAUGCUUCACAACCAAUCGGGUUGGGGGAGGUGGAGAAAUCAGAGCGGCGUCAGGAGAAAUAACCAAUUUCUGCAAAAUAACCUCUCUUAGCAUGUGGGUUAAUGUUAGUUCUGUUAGCAAACAAACCAGAGGAAGCUGUUUUGUCCGUCUUUGAAUGACUGCAAUUGUGACCAAACACAAAUAUUUAACAACUAAUCUCAUAUGAUAGCCUAAUGAUAUAAAACGGUGUAGUAAUAUGUGGCAAAUUUGAGACAACAUACAAAAUCUAAAACAAAUGCAAUCACAGAGAAAAAAAAAAUGUUUUACCUAGCGCCCCCCUCAGGCCUGGAGUACUCAUGUCAGGUUUUUCCUGCAUGAUUUUGCAUUUGCAGCGUAUCAUUACUAAUUUGGGACUUUAGUAGGUUUUUAUAAUUUGAUCAUUCGAACAUUUGCAGGACAUUCCUCCCGAUGUAGAUCUUCAGACACUCAGCAAACAUUUUCCAAGUAAGUUUGUGGUUUUAAUCUGUCGUCUAAAGUCUUCUUUAACACAGCAUGAUGUCCAUUUGGUAAAUUAUGGUCUCAUUUAGAUUCAUAUCGACCAUGCGACUGAGGAAGAUUUCCUGUAACUGUGAAUCAGAGAAGUAGUUGUUCAGCAUCUUCCUGUUAUAAAAGACACUCAAGCAAGCUUUUACUUUUUUACACUGCAUACAAAACGCUGCUAAUUUUAGCCUGAAAUAUCAGUCUUACACAAUAACUAACUUUCUAUGACAGUAAACAGUGUGCGAGGAAUUUCCUCCCGUUUUUGUUUUCACUCCUACACACCUGCCUUACAAAAAAAGAUUCACAGUAUUUUCCAUUUCAAGCCAGAUUUAGCACCCUAUUAAACAUCACUUCGCAUAAUUCUCCACUUUCAUUAAUCUCUCACUCUUCUUCAGUUCAUCUUUCGGCUCAAAUACUGUCUUUUCCAGUCAUUUCUGACUCCAAAUGCAGAGUCCAAAACAAACAGAAGUCAGCACCUUUCUCUUCUUAUACUCACUUUAUGGCCUCAGCGAAAGUCAAAGUGGAUUAUAUUCCUGCCCACUGCCUCUCAGAGAUCAGAGGUUUAUAAUAACAUAUGGAUUAAGGCUCAUAAUAAGUCUUUGCCAUGUGUGCAGAUUGGCCGCACAUGCAUGAGUGAACAUAAAGCCACUGUGUUCCUGUUUGAGAGCAGGAUGUGUCUAAUUUCGACCUCAGGCUGGACGUGUGGCAGCUUAUAGACUCUUAUAGUCCUGUACCAGAAAUCCAUAUGUUUUAUAAGCCCAGGAAACACAGGAAGUCAGGACUGAACUGGAUUUGAAUGUUUACGAGAUAUGAAUGAGCGCUGCAGCUGAGUCGAGCUGCAGAGACGUUUGCUCGUCACCCGGAGAGGUUUCGGCAGCCUCGCAUGUUUUCAAACUAAAUUUAGUUUUGAGGAAUUCAGCAGUACGUGUGAAAAACAUUUGGUCAUAGCAGCCGUGCAGAAAGUCAUCCAGCUGUCAGACAGUUACAGUGACAGAACGGCACUGUAACUGCAGAGGGAGGCGAGAGUCUGAAAGACGAGAACACAAAGAUCCCCAGAGACCAAGUCCUUUUUUUUUAUGCAACUUGAAUAAAUCUCUACUUUCUGUUUUUUUAAUUUAGAUCCUGCUACUAAAACACUUUUUAUUGUGCUUUCUGUCAGACGAAGAAGGCAGGAUCUACUUUAAUUGGAAAUAAGACUUCAGACGUAACGUGCCACCUUCAGAGAUGCAGAAACAUCAUUUACAAAGUGUUUAAGAUGUAUUUACACAGGCUGCUUUUAUCUACGAAAGCAGCGGUUAGCUUUAAAACAAAUACUCUGACGUCUUUAUCGCCUACGGUUUUUCCCCUCAGGGUUUCUUCAUGGCAGACACUACUAAGAGCAGGAAACCAUUAUGGAAACACUUUGAGUUACAUUCACAGAGGAAGCUCCCCUCAGAGAAAUACUUCGUUUCAAGGAUGAAAAUUUAGUCUGAGCAAAGAUGACCUUUCAAAAGCCUGCUGGUUAUGAACUGGCAGCUCAACAAACAACCAAUAAGCCUGAUCUAAAGCUGCGUUGAACCUAGACUUUAGGUUGUUUUUUUGAAU
Xyrichtys novacula (pearly razorfish) is the source of this 7661-nucleotide non-coding RNA. Lineage: Eukaryota; Metazoa; Chordata; Actinopteri; Labriformes; Labridae. The record is from the annotation of a GenBank genome assembly.